AUAAGGGUCUCGUUGGUGACCAGCGGAGGGUCAUUACCGAGUUUACAACUCCCAAACCCAAUGUGAACGUUACCAAACUGUUGCCUCGGCGGGAUCUCUGCCCCGGGUGCGUCGCAGCCCCGGACCAAGGCGCCCGCCGGAGGACCAACCAAAACUCUUAUUGUAUACCCCCUCGCGGGUUUUUUUUAUAAUCUGAGCCUUCUCGGCGCCUCUCGUAGGCGUUUCGAAAAUGAAUCAAAACUUUCAACAACGGAUCUCUUGGUUCUGGCAUCGAUGAAGAACGCAGCGAAAUGCGAUAAGUAAUGUGAAUUGCAGAAUUCAGUGAAUCAUCGAAUCUUUGAACGCACAUUGCGCCCGCCAGUAUUCUGGCGGGCAUGCCUGUCCGAGCGUCAUUUCAACCCUCGAACCCCUCCGGGGGGUCGGCGUUGGGGAUCGGCCCUGCCUUGGCGGUGGCCGUCUCCGAAAUACAGUGGCGGUCUCGCCGCAGCCUCUCCUGCGCAGUAGUUUGCACACUCGCAUCGGGAGCGCGGCGCGUCCACAGCCGUUAAACACCCAACUUCUGAAAUGUUGACCUCGGAUCAGGUAGGAAUACCCGCUGAACUUAAGCAUAUCAAUAAGCGGAGGA
Molecule: ribosomal RNA, 625 nt
Filed under: Trichoderma harzianum
Lineage: Eukaryota; Fungi; Ascomycota; Sordariomycetes; Hypocreales; Hypocreaceae
Description: eukaryotic LSU rRNA
Rfam family: 5.8S ribosomal RNA (bases 239-392)
Source: RNAcentral